Molecule: ribosomal RNA, 504 nt
Filed under: uncultured bacterium
Lineage: Bacteria
Description: partial 16S ribosomal RNA
Rfam family: Bacterial small subunit ribosomal RNA
Source: RNAcentral
AUUGAACGCUGGCGGCAGGCCUAACACAUGCAAGUCGAACGGUAGCACAGAGAGCUUGCUCUCGGGUGACGAGUGGCGGACGGGUGAGUAACGUCUGGGAAACUGCCCGAUGGAGGGGGAUAACUACUGGAAACGGUAGCUAAUACCGCAUAACGUCGCAAGACCAAAGUGGGGGACCUUCGGGCCGCACACCAUCGGAUGUGCCCAGAUGGGAUUAGCUAGUAGGUGGGGUAAUGGCUCACCUAGGCGACGAUCCCUAGCGGGUCUGAGAGGAUGACCAGCCACACUGGAACUGAGACACGGUCCAGACUCCUACGGGAGGCAGCAGUGGGGAAUAUUGCACAAUGGGCGCAAGCCUGAUGCAGCCAUGCCGCGUGUAUGAAGAAGGCCUUCGGGUUGUAAAGUACUUUCAGCGGGGAGGAAGGCGGUGAAGUUAAUAACUUCACCGAUUGACGUUACCCGCAGAAGAAGCACCGGCUAACUCCGUGCCAGCAGCCGCCGUAA